Molecule: ribosomal RNA, 780 nt
Filed under: human gut metagenome
Description: bacterial SSU rRNA
Rfam family: Bacterial small subunit ribosomal RNA
Source: RNAcentral
CGAGCGUUAUCCGGAUUUAUUGGGUUUAAAGGGCGCGUAGGCGGGACGCCAAGUCAGCGGUAAAAGACUGCAGCUAAACUGUAGCACGCCGUUGAAACUGGCGACCUGGAGACGAGACGAGGGAGGCGGAACAAGUGAAGUAGCGGUGAAAUGCUUAGAUAUCACUUGGAACCCCGAUAGCGAAGGCAGCUUCCCAGGCUCGAUCUGACGCUGAUGCGCGAGAGCGUGGGUAGCAAACAGGAUUAGAUACCCUGGUAGUCCACGCCGUAAACGAUGCUCACUGGAUCUUGGCGAUACACUGCCAGGGUUCAAGCGAAAGUAUUAAGUGAGCCACCUGGGGAGUACGUCGGCAACGAUGAAACUCAAAGGAAUUGACGGGGGCCCGCACAAGCGGAGGAACAUGUGGUUUAAUUCGAUGAUACGCGAGGAACCUUACCCGGGUUUAAAUGUGGAGUGCAUGAGCUGGAAACAGUUCUUUCCCUCGGGACUCUUCACAAGGUGCUGCAUGGUUGUCGUCAGCUCGUGCCGUGAGGUGUCGGGUUAAGUCCCAUAACGAGCGCAACCCCUAUCGCCAGUUGCCAGCGGCUGAGGCCGGGCACUCUGUCGAGACUGCCACCGUAAGGUGCGAGGAAGGCGGGGAUGACGUCAAAUCAGCACGGCCCUUACACCCGGGGCGACACACGUGUUACAAUGGCCGGUACAGAGGGCAGCCACGGGGUGACCCGGAGCGAAUCUCUAAAGCCGGUCGUAGUUCGGACUGGAGUCUGCAACCCGACUCCA